UACGUAGGUCCCGAGCGUUGUCCGGAUUUAUUGGGCGUAAAGCGAGCGCAGGCGGUUCUUUAAGUCUGAAGUUAAAGGCAGUGGCUCAACCAUUGUACGCUUUGGAAACUGGAGAACUUGAGUGCAGAAGGGGAGAGUGGAAUUCCAUGUGUAGCAGUGAAAUGCGUAGAUAUAUGGAGGAACACCGGUGGCGAAAGCAGCUCUCUGGUCUGUAACUGACGCUGAGGCUCGAAAGCGUGGGGAGCAAACAGG
RNAcentral lists this ribosomal RNA (252 nucleotides) under uncultured bacterium. Its description in RNAcentral is "partial 16S ribosomal RNA". It matches the Rfam family "Bacterial small subunit ribosomal RNA", at positions 524 to 776 of the family's 1533-position model. The record is from RNAcentral.